This 440-nucleotide ribosomal RNA is filed under the name uncultured bacterium. RNAcentral's name for it is "partial 16S ribosomal RNA". It matches the Rfam family "Bacterial small subunit ribosomal RNA", at positions 338 to 795 of the family's 1533-position model. The record is from RNAcentral.
CCUACGGGUGGCAGCAGUGGGGAAUAUUGCACAAUGGGGGGAACCCUGAUGCAGCGACGCCGCGUGAGUGAAGAAGUAUUUCGGUAUGUAAAGCUCUAUCAGCAGGGAAGAAAAUGACGGUACCUGACUACGAAGCCCCGGCUAACUCCGUGCCAGCAGCCGCGGUCAUACGUAGGGGGCAAGCGUUAUCCGGAUUUACUGGGUGUAAAGGGAGCGCAGACGGCUGUGCAAGUCUGGAGUGAAAGGCGGGGGCCCAACCCCCGGACUGCUCUGGAAACUGUAAAGCUGGAGUGCAGGAGAGGUAAGCGGAAUUCCUAGUGUAGCGGUGAAAUGCGUAGAUAUUAGGAGGAACACCAGUGGCGAAGGCGGCUUACUGGACUGCAACUGACGUUGAGGCUCGAAAGCGUGGGGAGCAAACAGGAUUAGAUACCCUUGUAGUC